GUUACACCAGUAACCUUGUGUAUAAUUACUAACUUGCUAACUUGGAUUUGCGUCUAAAUCUGAGGCUGACGCUCAAUCUUAUUAAACAUGUUUUCUGUAGUAUAUUAGGGAUACAGACUGUUUGUAGUCCAAUCUGCAGCAGCGAGAAAAGUGGGGAUCAAAGGAAGAAGUCACGAGUGUCUGGACUGGAGGUUACACCGGUAUCAGCUGAGCGCAAACUCACGCAGGUGUAUUGCUGGAGUGAACGCCGGAGGGUCGCCGAGAUCAUUAUCCGAGCGCAGGACCAGCGCAAAGUCGCGUGUUUGUCUCAGGAGUGAAUGGGAAGUGCGGUUUACCUGGAUGCCUUCUUACCUUGAUGAAAAUCCACCCAAAUCCGCUGUUUGAAACUCUGUCCCGAGUUCCCAAGCCGAGCUGCCGCCUGGAUGGCUCACGGUUUUCCAUGACGACACACACACACCCAUCACCUCCACCCAUCACCUACGCCACAUUCGUCACUCGCAUACCGCAACAAACUCCCCUUAAUGAUGUGCGGGACCUGAUUGGAGUAAAUUGAAAGUCCAGAAAACCUAGCCAUUCAGUUGUGUGGGAUACUGCAGCAUCUCCUUAAUCUGAUUCCAUUGCUGUUCAUUUUUCAUCUUUUAUUUAUCAGCAUUUAUUUGAGGUGUAGAGUCAAUAUUCUGAAUCACAGAAUCAUUUUAUAUGACAGCUUUCAAAUUUCUGAUCCUUUGCUCUGUUUGCAGACCAGAAUAAACUUUAUUCUAUAAUGGCUACAAAAUAAGUUUACAAAUAAAAUUGUUUAUAGAUAAAUAUACAUUAAUGUAUAUUCUUUAAUCUACAGGUACAGAUAUACAGGUAUAUACCAAUGUAUGUAUUUAGUACAUACAUUGGUGUAUAAUAAAUCAUUGAUGAAAAUGGCAGUAACAGUAGCAAUGGCAUUAUAUCUGACUGUUCAAAGUACACACAGUGUAUUUACAGGUUCUAUUACAUUCUCUAUCUUCUAUAUAAGAAUUAUUCUUUACUACACACUGAUGUAUUAAACCCAGUAUUUGAACAGACCCUCUUUGACUUUCUCCUCAUCACUGUGUUAUUUGAUAAAACAUUGAAACUGGUGUUAAAUUUAAGGUGACAAAGUCAAAGUGGGUGUGUUACAAACAGAGCAAUAAAAUUGUGUUCAUCUACUGUUUAGUCCUCUGACUCCCCCUAGUGAUUAAAGCUUAGCAUUUCUGUAAUGGUGGCCAAGUUCCAUAGCACUUUGUAAACAGUACUGUGGCAUACAGUCGAGCCCAUAAUCAUCAUCAUCUAACAAAACUACAAAUGUCCAGCAGUCAGAGUGUAAAUGCUGGGAAUUGGAUUCAUCAAUUCUGUAGCUCAGCUAGUCUACAUAUUCCUCAGAUGUUACUAAGUGUUCUGCUGAAUCACUUUUAUGUAUCAGAUUUCUAAAUUCUGACCCUUUGCUCUGUUUGCUGUUGAUAUGAGGACUGAUUUGUGACAUGAUGAUAUGUGUGGUUAUGAUUUGUUAUGGAUGAACAUAAAACUUGUAAAAUGAAGUAAAA
Long non-coding RNA from Hemibagrus wyckioides, 1553 nucleotides. RefSeq lists it as uncharacterized. Lineage: Eukaryota; Metazoa; Chordata; Actinopteri; Siluriformes; Bagridae. The record is from RefSeq and is a predicted model, not a curated record. The transcript has 3 exons.